RNAcentral lists this ribosomal RNA (449 nucleotides) under Teinopodagrion venale. RNAcentral describes it as "partial 16S ribosomal RNA". It matches the Rfam family "Bacterial large subunit ribosomal RNA", at positions 1926 to 2585 of the family's 2925-position model. Lineage: Eukaryota; Metazoa; Arthropoda; Insecta; Odonata; Megapodagrionidae. The record is from RNAcentral.
AACGGCCGCGGUAUUCUGACCGUGCAAAGGUAGCAUAAUCAUUAGUCUUUUAAUAGAGGGCUGGAAUGAAAGGUUUGACAAAGAAUUGACUGUCUCAUUUUAAUAUUUUAAAAUUUAUCUUUUAAGUCAAAAGACUUAAAUUUUAUUGGAAGACGAGAAGACCCUAUAGAGCUUUAUGAUUGUUUAUUUAAAAUGGUUUAGACUAUAAGUUUAUUUUGUUUAAACUUUUAUUUUGUUGGGGUGACAGUAGAAUAUAAUUAACUUUUAUGUUUUAUUUAACAUUAAUAUAUGAUUAUUAGAUCCUUUAUUAUUGAUUUUUAGACUGAGUUACCUUAGGGAUAACAGCGUUAUCUUCUUUUAGAGUUCAAAUUUACAAGGAGGCUUGCGACCUCGAUGUUGGAUUAAGAUUAUAAUUGGGUGUAGUAGCUUGAUUAAUAGGUCUGUUCGAC